Lotus japonicus is the source of this 720-nucleotide long non-coding RNA. RefSeq lists it as uncharacterized. The transcript has 3 exons. NCBI's taxonomy places the organism in Eukaryota, Viridiplantae, Streptophyta, Magnoliopsida, Fabales, Fabaceae. The record is from RefSeq and is a predicted model, not a curated record.
GUUUUCUUUCUUCAGGCUUGAACUUGUCACAGCCGAUGGUACACAUGAGUGACGAGGAGAUGAAAUUGUGAAUUCCUUUUAGAUCAUCGUCACCCUACAUAGAGGUAGGUUCGAUUUUGAUGGAGAUUAGACAAUGGAAGAUGAAGAAAGCAAGGAGAAGGAGAAGAGUUGAUGAUGGAAAGUACGAAAUUUCCGUCAUCAACGAUAGUGUUUGGUCACAAUCAGAGAAGAUGGUGGAACGAAAAGGACCAAUUUUCCCUUGUGAGUGGUUAGGUGAGGCAGCUCAGAUGACAGGAUAGAUCAUCCCGAUUUUGGAAGAAGGUUGCUUGAGAAGGACUGUUGUCAGAUGUGGAGCAGUAGUAGCAGAGAAGAUGAUGCACUAUUUGGUCAUUGAUUUCAUCUUGUAUGACAUCAGGGUCUGAAAAUUGAAGCUUCCAUCAACAAGAACUUCAUUUCCAAAUUCACAAGUCAAUUGGCUGAGGGGAAUGUUUACAAGAUCACAUAUUUUUCUGUUGGUGAGAAUGGUGGUGCAUUUCGGGCCACCGAGCAUGAGUUCAAGAUAUUUUUUAAUGGAAGGACACAUGUAGUUACUGACUCUUCUGAGAUCAUCCCAUAUGUUGGAUUAACAUUGAAGAACUCAUUUGACAUUGCAGCUACCAUGGGGAAAGUGAUUAUCUUAUAGACAUUAUUGGGUUGGUAACAACAAUGUCAGCUGAGAAG